This 402-nucleotide unclassified non-coding RNA is filed under the name Hevea brasiliensis (rubber tree). Lineage: Eukaryota; Viridiplantae; Streptophyta; Magnoliopsida; Malpighiales; Euphorbiaceae. The record is from RNAcentral.
UCCACAAUUCGUUGCUUGUAAUUGUAAAUCAAAAAAGGGAUUUGUUUUAUAUUUUGUUUUUGUGGGUGGGAUGUGCUUGGAAUUUGUUCCCCCAAGAAAUGAUUUAGGAUUAGGUGAAUCGUAGAACAUGGUUGGUAAUCACUGGCAUAAAGAGGAAAGAAGAAAGAAAAAUGACUGUUGUCAUGGUUUUGUUUGUACAACAUUGAAAUGUAGAUACAUUCAUUAUUUACAAUUUUCGAAAUGCUCUUCGUUGCAUAGUCAUUACAUUUAAUGCUUUUUGCUUAAGGACUACCAAAUGAAGAUAGGGAAUUUGAGCUGUCUCAAAUGGCAGAUUUCUAUAUUCUAAUCAUAUGCAUCCUUUAAGUUGAUUGUCUGAGGUGUGAUUGCAGGAAACUUCAUCUG